CAGCGAUGUAUUCGUGUAAAUGUUCUUGCGCUUGAUGUUCUAAAUCAGGCUUUCUUUAAAUGACGUAAAAGAUACAGUAGCGUCAUGACCACAAACACAAUCGAGCCUAUUACUACAGCAAUACCUUAAAAUAUUAUAGUUUAUUUAAAUUUACAGCAGGGAUUUGAGAUUUUUACGUAAAUGCAGAUUUUGACUGUGAUUGCAGGUUGUAGGUUGCGAGAAGUGGUUGAGGACAACACAUUCCUCUAACUUCUGGAUAGAUAUGCCUGAUGAUUUAGGCACCGGUUUCAUCUAAAAAAUCUGAAAGAUUAAUUAAAAUAAUGUAUAACCCUACUCAUUUUCCCCGUCAACGUUGGCAUGUCCCAAAGGAACAAGAAAGGAACUUUGUCGCUGCAUUCUUUCACAUGGCAACAAUAGCAUUGACAUGCACAUCGUUGGCGCAACUUGGAUGGUUCCGUUUGAAAGGUGGUCAUUGUGCACCACAUCUAGCUGUCUACCAGUUCUUUAGUUUUGGAUAUUUUGAUACUGGUACGAGGCAAACAGAUCUGCAGUUCCAUGCAAGAGAAGUGUCCUCAUCUCCUUUACCAAUUCAAUACCACUCACCAAGUGGAACUCUUCAGUGCGUUACACCAGAGAUUGCCAGCUUGAUGCGUGUCAUAAUUAUAUUAUGUUUCAUGGCAAUGAUAUGUUCUCUUGUUGGAUUUUUCUUGGAUAUUGUGGGUCCCACAAAAAAAGCCAUGAAAGUUAUACAGAGGAAUUCAAUUCCAAGUAUAUUUACAGUUCUGUGGGUGAUAGCCAUCAUUGGUGUUUGUUAUGAUGUCACAAAACUAAUUGAGGUGUCAGGAAUACAAGUUUAUUAUGAAUAUGGUUGUUACACAAUAACUGCAGCAGGUGCAGUUGCUGUGUGUGCAACAGCUUGCAAUCUGCUACAAUACCACUCUCCCAUUGAGGAGAUACAGCGGCGCCCCCUCAUAGAUGACUGGGAUGGUAUCGAGACAUUCUCUGUUAUGGGGAGUGGUCCAAGAGGUGCGGACACUCCUCUUGAGAGCAUCACUCCGCCCCCACCAUACAGCCCCUGACCCAUCACCAACUGAGGAUGCCCCAACAUCCACUGACUGGCAAUGAACCUGUGAUAAUAACCUCAUUAUUUAGUUUGAAGACAUUCUUGAGCGCAGAUGUAACAGUUCCUCCAAUGUCAGAGUUAUGUGAGGUUUGAGGUGCUGAUGGCAGUGACUGUAAAGAUUACUGAAGUUUCAGAAGAAUAUACUGCGUCCAUCUUCAUAGAAAAAUAUCCUGAACAUGGAAGGUGGUGGUAUGGAAUAGAGACAGGAACAGCCAAGCUAUGAGUCCUGAGUGAACCAACUGGACUAAGAAGAAUGCCCUUUUCAAGGGCCUCGGUUUCUUUUCCAUUCUCCUUACGAUGAGUUCCUCAGGGCUCCCAGCCUGGCUAUCCCUUUAUAUCAUUUUUUACCUCCAGAAAUAAUAGGACUAUAAAAAUAUAUUUAAUUAGAUUUUAUACUUUAAGAACUGCAUAUGUAGUAACUAGAAUGCAAGUCAAAAUGUGUCAUUACUUUCCAUACAUGAUAGAAUUAAAGUUGUAGGCAUGCUCAUUUCAUAUCAUGACUGAUCUUUCAUGUGGGGAACAAAGAUGAUUGUCCUUGCAUUGUGAUAAACUGUGAAAGCAAGAGAAAAAAAAUGAAACCAGAAAUUUCAUAAUUUUAUUUUUUCCUAGAUAAAGUUAAAACAAAGAAAAACUGGUAAAUCAUGAGUACAAGUAAAGACGCUUGUCUUGCAGAGGGUGGUCCUUUGGCGAGGAAAAGUGAAUGUAUUCUGUUCUUAGUACAUAACAUAGCACACUGCACAUCAUUGAUCAUUCUCAUUGUUCAGUAUAUUCAGUUUUCCUCAUCACUGGCUCUUGCACUACAAUCCAUGGGGGCCUUCAGUCACAUUGAACAUUUUUCGUGUUCUACAAAGACUAAAAUAAUUUAAUUUCAUUGUUUUGAGACUGGUAGACAAGGAUGGUUGUUAGAUGGUGGUAAUACUAUUGGAUGGAGCAGCAAGCCCAAGUUCAAACCUCUGUGUGGAGACUGGCCAUCCAGAGAAAACAUGGGCUAUACUUUAAACCAGGCCUGGCCACUUACAAAUAAUCUCAAAUUCAUUCAUUCAUUCAUUCAGAAGUAACCUCUCAUUUGUUAGUGUGUAACCAGCGCAGAAGAAAAACGUCCUGCAAUAAGUAAAGAUUAAUCAGUUUUCUUUCAGUCUAUGGAUCUGUGGUCUCUAUAGAAAACUGAAGACUUCACUGUAACGAGAAGGCAGCCCUCCCAUGAUGACAGUAUAGUUGGUGCCUCGUCUAUGGAUCUGUGGUCUCUAUAGAAAACUGAAGACUUCACUGUAACGAGAAGGCAGCCCUCCCAUGAUGACAGUAUAGUUGGUGCCUCGUAACUUUAGCCGUGCAGAAAGGUAAAUGCUGUUGUGGAGCACACAAAGCUGUACACUUGCUGUGGUGAUGUUCAGAGCUACUCCCAGAGUGGAAAACAUUACCUAUGGAGACCAAUUAACAAGCAACACAACGUACUAUACACCUGACCACACUCCAAGACGCUACAUUCCAAACUGGUAGUACCCACACUGACGCAAGGUGAUAAGACUGCCCUCCCCCACCCCCACGAGAGAUGGUAUGACCCCUCUACAACGGCUAGAGUUCCGAGGAACUAACAGUAGUCAGGCUGUUACCGUCAUUCCUGUUGUUAGGCCUGUUUAGUUUUUUACGUGUGUAUAAAGCAAGAAAUCUUUAGUCUUUUUAAAAGUCUUCAGAAGUUUUUUGGGGGGUCCUACCUGUGCUCAUUUUGCAAUAUAUUUUUUUCAAUUUCUUCUUUAGGUUUGUACCAAUCUCACUACUGCUAAAAAUGGUAAAUCAGACGA
Molecule: RNA transcript, 2922 nt
Organism: Cryptotermes secundus
Lineage: Eukaryota; Metazoa; Arthropoda; Insecta; Blattodea; Kalotermitidae
Gene name: transmembrane protein 127
Exons: 6
Source: RefSeq, a predicted model, not a curated record